Molecule: ribosomal RNA, 447 nt
Filed under: uncultured bacterium
Lineage: Bacteria
Description: bacterial SSU rRNA
Rfam family: Bacterial small subunit ribosomal RNA
Source: RNAcentral
UGGGGAAUCUUGGACAAUGGGCGCAAGCCUGAUCCAGCCAUGCCGCGUGAGUGAAGAAGGCCUUCGGGUUGUAAAGCUCUUUUACCAGGGACGAUAAUGACGGUACCUGGAGAAUAAGCCCCGGCAAACUUCGUGCCAGCAGCCGCGGUAAUACGAAGGGGGCUAGCGUUGUUCGGAAUUACUGGGCGUAAAGCGCACGUAGGCGGAUUGUUAAGUCAGAGGUGAAAUCCCGGAGCUCAACUUCGGAACUGCCUUUGAUACUGGCAAUCUAGAGUCCGGAAGAGGUUAGUGGAAUUCCCAGUGUAGAGGUGAAAUUCGUAGAUAUUGGGAAGAACACCAGUGUCGAAGGCGGCUAACUGGUCCGGUACUGACGCUGAGGUGCGAAAGCGUGGGGAGCAAACAGGAUUAGAUACCCAUGUAGUCCCUGAGCGGGCUGGCAAGGCGCAU